CCCUUAGAUGUUCUGGGCUGCACGCGCGCUACACUGAUGCGAUCAACAAGUUUUUCCUAUGUCGAUAGACACGGGUAAUCUUUUGAACUCGCAUCGUGAUGGGGAUAGAUUAUUGUAAUUAUUAAUCUUCAACGAGGAAUUCCUAGUAGGUGCAAAUCAUCAGUUUGCAUCGAUUACGUCCCUGCCCUUUGUACACACCGCCCGUCGCUGCUACCGAUUGGUUGAUCUGGUGAAUUAUUCGGACUGCCGUCUGAAGGGGUUUCCUCAUCUGCCAGCGGAAAGUCUUGUUAACCCUAUCAACUAGAGGAAGCAGAAGUCGUAACA
This 324-nucleotide ribosomal RNA is filed under the name uncultured eukaryote. Its description in RNAcentral is "partial 18S ribosomal RNA". It matches the Rfam family "Eukaryotic small subunit ribosomal RNA", at positions 1470 to 1796 of the family's 1831-position model. The record is from RNAcentral.